This 1450-nucleotide ribosomal RNA is filed under the name uncultured organism. Its description in RNAcentral is "SSU rRNA". It matches the Rfam family "Bacterial small subunit ribosomal RNA". The record is from RNAcentral.
CUACAGGCUUAACACAUGCAAGUCGAGGGGCAUCAGGAAGAAAGCUUGCUUUCUUUGCUGGCGACCGGCGCACGGGUGAGUAACACGUAUCCAACCUGCCCUUUACUCGGGGAUAGCCUUUCGAAAGAAAGAUUAAUACCCGAUAGCAUAAUGAUUCCGCAUGGUUUCAUUAUUAAAGGAUUCCGGUAAAGGAUGGGGAUGCGUUCCAUUAGGUUGUUGGUGAGGUAACGGCCCACCAAGCCUUCGAUGGAUAGGGGUUCUGAGAGGAAGGUCCCCCACAUUGGAACUGAGACACGGUCCAAACUCCUACGGGAGGCAGCAGUGAGGAAUAUUGGUCAAUGGGCGCUAGCCUGAACCAGCCAAGUAGCGUGAAGGAUGAAGGCUCUAUGGGUCGUAAACUUCUUUUAUAUAAGAAUAAAGUGCAGUAUGUAUACUGUUUUGUAUGUAUUAUAUGAAUAAGGAUCGGCUAACUCCGUGCCAGCAGCCGCGGUAAUACGGAGGAUCCGAGCGUUAUCCGGAUUUAUUGGGUUUAAAGGGAGCGUAGGUGGACUGGUAAGUCAGUUGUGAAAGUUUGCGGCUCAACCGUAAAAUUGCAGUUGAUACUGUCAGUCUUGAGUACAGUAGAGGUGGGCGGAAUUCGUGGUGUAGCGGUGAAAUGCUUAGAUAUCACGAAGAACUCCGAUUGCGAAGGCAGCUCACUGGACUGCAACUGACACUGAUGCUCGAAAGUGUGGGUAUCAAACAGGAUUAGAUACCCUGGUAGUCCACACAGUAAACGAUGAAUACUCGCUGUUUGCGAUAUACAGUAAGCGGCCAAGCGAAAGCAUUAAGUAUUCCACCUGGGGAGUACGCCGGCAACGGUGAAACUCAAAGGAAUUGACGGGGGCCCGCACAAGCGGAGGAACAUGUGGUUUAAUUCGAUGAUACGCGAGGAACCUUACCCGGGCUUAAAUUGCAGUGGAAUGAUGUGGAAACAUGUCAGUGAGCAAUCACCGCUGUGAAGGUGCUGCAUGGUUGUCGUCAGCUCGUGCCGUGAGGUGUCGGCUUAAGUGCCAUAACGAGCGCAACCCUUAUCUUUAGUUACUAACAGGUUAUGCUGAGGACUCUAGAGAGACUGCCGUCGUAAGAUGUGAGGAAGGUGGGGAUGACGUCAAAUCAGCACGGCCCUUACGUCCGGGGCUACACACGUGUUACAAUGGGGGGUACAGAAGGCAGCUAGCGGGUGACCGUAUGCUAAUCCCAAAAUCCUCUCUCAGUUCGGAUCGAAGUCUGCAACCCGACUUCGUGAAGCUGGAUUCGCUAGUAAUCGCGCAUCAGCCACGGCGCGGUGAAUACGUUCCCGGGCCUUGUACACACCGCCCGUCAAGCCAUGAAAGCCGGGGGUACCUGAAGUGCGUAACCGCAAGGAGCGCCCUAGGGUAAAACUGGUGAUUGGGGCUAAGUCAUAACA